This 885-nucleotide ribosomal RNA is filed under the name Triticum aestivum (bread wheat). RNAcentral describes it as "partial small subunit ribosomal RNA". The record is from RNAcentral. Lineage: Eukaryota; Viridiplantae; Streptophyta; Magnoliopsida; Poales; Poaceae.
AUGUCUGCCCCGCCGCCCCCCGCCUCCUCCGAUGAUGAUGGUAAGCCCGCCGACGAGGAGGGCGUAGAGAUCCGCGAGGUAUGGGCGAACAACCUCGAGGCGGAGUUCGCCGUGAUCCGUGACAUCGUCGACGAUUACCCGUACAUCGCCAUGGACACCGAGUUCCCGGGCAUCGUGUGCCGCCCGCUCGGGAGCUUUCGCUCCAAUGACGAGUACAACUACGCCACCCUCAAGGCCAACGUCGACAUGCUGAGCCUCAUCCAGCUUGGUCUCACCCUCUCCGACGAGAACGGCGCACUCCCGGCCAGGGGCACCGGGGGGCGCCCCUGCACCUGGCAGUUCAACUUUCGGGGCUUCGAUCCGCGCUCAGACCCCGCCAACGCUGACUCCAUCGACCUGCUACGCAACAGCGGGAUCGACUUCGACCGCUUCACCACCGAGGGUGCUGACACAGGCCACUUCGCCGAGCUGCUCAUGUCGUCGGGCGUCCUGCUCAACGCUGAGCUCCAGUGGGUCACAUUCCACAGUGGGUACGACUUCGGGUACCUGCUCAAGCUGCUAACCGGGCGGAACCUACCCGACACCAUGCCUGGAUUCUUUGACCUCAUCAGAAUCUACUUCCCUGUGCUGUACGACAUCAAGCAUCUCAUGAAGUACUGCGGCAGCCUCCAUGGUGGCUUGAGCAAGCUUGGUGAGCUACUUGGUGUCCAACGUGUGGGGAUCUGCCACCAGGCUGGGUCCGACUCGCUGCUGACCUUGCGGUGCUUCAAAAAGCUGAAGGAGGCAUAUUUCAGAGGAUCGACCGAGAAUUAUGCCGGUGUAUUGUAUGGUCUUAUUUCUGAUGGUGGGGAGAACAGACCACCAGCAGCUCUGCUCAUCGAAUGA